AUUGAACGCUGGCGGCAGGCCUAACACAUGCAAGUCGAACGAGUGGCGGACGGGUGAGUAAUGUCUGGGAAACUGCCCGAUGGAGGGGGAUAACUACUGGAAACGGUAGCUAAUACCGCAUACCAUCGGAUGUGCCCAGAUGGGAUUAGCUAGUAGGUGGGGUAACGGCUCACCUAGGCGACGAUCCCUAGCUGGUCUGAGAGGAUGACCAGCCACACUGUAACUGAGACACGGUCCAGACUCCUACGGGAGGCAGCAGUGGGGAAUAUUGUACAAUGGGCGCAAGCCUGAUGCAGCCAGGCCGCGUGUAUGAAGAAGGCCUUCGGGUUGUAAAGUACUUUCAGCGGGGAGGCGUUACUCGCAGAAGAAGCACCGGCUAACUCCGUGCCAGCAGCCGCGGUAAUUC
Molecule: ribosomal RNA, 406 nt
Filed under: uncultured bacterium
Lineage: Bacteria
Description: partial 16S ribosomal RNA
Rfam family: Bacterial small subunit ribosomal RNA
Source: RNAcentral